GGUUUGCAGCCCUCAUUGCGUUUGCGUUGAUGGGUCGUUUUGUUCAUAUCCGUUCAGGAACUGUCCCUAUCUCUGCUCUUAUAAGGUUGCUGCAUUCCUCUCUCAAAGCUUAUGGACACGUGAUGGAUCGAUCGUGCUAGUCUAUUGUCUAUAGGAUUAUUGCAUUAAUAACCAAGUGACCGACCACAGUCCAUAGGCAGCUUUUGUGCAUUUUUCUGAUUUCUGGCCUGUUUAGUACAUUGGUUAGAGACGUUAAAGUUUAAUAGAUAUUGUAGUAUUUUUGUUUCGUAAAUUAUUUUCUAGCUAUAUUUUAAGUUUCGUAAAUAAUCUAUGUUUAGUAUUUUAUGUAUAUAUCUAAAUAUUUGAUGUAACGAGAGACCUUCCUCUUGGCUGUUACCGUGUCAAAUUUGUCUCAUGAGUAAGGUUGGAUAACGAGCCGGCUCAGCUCGGCUCGUUCUGGCUUGUUAGGAUAACGAGCUAGCUCGGCUCCGCUUGUUAUCUUAACGAGCCAGAAAGCCAGCUCAACUCGGCUCGUUAAAAGCUCGAACUGGCUUGUUAAGCUCGCAAGUCAGGUAUAAAAGUACAUAAAUUAUAACAUUUGUAUUUAUCUAAGCUUAAAAAUAGUUAUAAUACAAUAAUAAUAUAUUCAAUAGUCUUAAUUUUAACAAAAUAUUCAUAUGAGCUAAAGUAUUAACUAUUUAUAAAGUGUAAGACAUGAAGGAGUAUAAAACUAUUGUAAGUUAUUUUUUUGUCUAAUAAUCUGUCUUCGACUUCCGAUUGAACUAACUAGCUUCUAUUUUUUUUUUUUUGGGUCCAGACUUACUCUAAGGUUUGAGGCUCCCACUCCCAUGGGCCAUGAUCUUGCGAGCGGGCCGGAAUUUUGGCGUCCCGGAGAAGAGAGGCAAAGGCGGCGCAGGGGUGGGGAAACGGAAUCCGUCGUGACUAGCCGAAAGGCCGUGUGACGCGGCGAUUCUGCGGCCCAUCAAUUUGCAUGGGCUAUUCAACAAUAUCUUCGUUUCGGGCUUGCGUACCAGGCCGGCUUCGGCCCCGCCGGGGCGGCGUUUGGCCGGCCCACGGUAACGGGCACGGCGCCGCAUACAGUCGACCUGGCCGCCGGUCCUCUAGAUCCGCAGCACCGCAAACCCGCCACCGCCGGUAGGUACCGCAACGUUCUUCUACAGAAACUCGGCGUCGUCGUUUGUGGCAUCCGUCGUCGCCAUCGUGAUCGUGCCGGUGCUGACGCAGGGAGCUAGCGCUGCUGGUGGCCGGCUCGGAGUCGGACAUGCCUCU
This 1290-nucleotide long non-coding RNA is filed under the name Sorghum bicolor (sorghum). RNAcentral describes it as "long non-coding RNA (SBIC_LNC007291)". Lineage: Eukaryota; Viridiplantae; Streptophyta; Magnoliopsida; Poales; Poaceae. The record is from RNAcentral.